UAUCGCGAGAAGUCUUCCUGGCUUAUCUGAUACACCGGAAGUGACUAGGAAGGAGGCCGCAGUAAAAAAUUUCUAUAUUACUUUCAGUGUAGGUUUUAUUGCCGAUAAAUUCAAUGUAAGAGUGCACAUCAGUAUCUACACAUUUUGGGAGUGUGACAGGUUAUCACAGGCCAUUCUUCCUGCUUCAGCUUAAUCUUCCUAAGAUUUCCAUGGCCUCUUCACCAUUCUUCCCUACUGGAUCCUUUUGGAAUGAAUAGCAGAGGAUCAUGAGGACAAGACUGCUUUUCAGGUUUCUACACCAGUAUAUCUUCAUCAUUCAUCAAGCUGCUUCAGAGGACUGGACUGCAUUUCUGUUAAUGGGAUCUAUGCAGACAAUAUACCGCUUAA
Mustela erminea (ermine) is the source of this 387-nucleotide long non-coding RNA. RefSeq lists it as uncharacterized. NCBI's taxonomy places the organism in Eukaryota, Metazoa, Chordata, Mammalia, Carnivora, Mustelidae. The transcript has 5 exons. The record is from RefSeq and is a predicted model, not a curated record.